UUCUUCCAUCACCGGUUGGCCGCGGAAGUGUGGAGAACUUUCUCCAGUUCUCUCCAUUUUCUUUCAAUCUCUACACACUUUCUUCAAAAUUUUCACCAUGUUUCAUUCUUUCCUGGUAAAAUCUACUCACCAAAACUUUUGUUGAGCUAUUCCAUCUAUCACCUUCAUCAUCAAUGAAGUGGGGGUUUAAACUCUAGUGUUUGGUAUUGUAGGAGGAGUGAGAAAGGAGAUGAAUAAGCAAAUAUAGGAUUUGACACCAAUAAUUAACAUCUGCUCAAACUUGGAGACGAUGGGUAUUCCUACUCCAAAUCUGACUUCAUUUGUGGUUCAACUCAAAUAUUUUUUCCCUUCAUGUAAUUCAUAAUAUAUCUUUAAGAAAUGAUGAGCGUGUAAUUUUAAAA
Gossypium arboreum is the source of this 401-nucleotide long non-coding RNA. RefSeq lists it as uncharacterized. NCBI's taxonomy places the organism in Eukaryota, Viridiplantae, Streptophyta, Magnoliopsida, Malvales, Malvaceae. The record is from RefSeq and is a predicted model, not a curated record. The transcript is spliced from 3 exons.